This 69-nucleotide transfer RNA is filed under the name Bos taurus (domestic cattle). It matches the Rfam family "tRNA". From Rfam's summary of the family: Transfer RNA (tRNA) molecules are approximately 80 nucleotides in length. RNAcentral also lists the same sequence under 5 other names. The record is from Rfam by way of RNAcentral. Lineage: Eukaryota; Metazoa; Chordata; Mammalia; Artiodactyla; Bovidae.
CCUGGUGGCUCAGACGGUAAAGAAUUUGCCUGCAAAGCAUAAGACCCAGGUUCAAUCCCUGGGUCAGGA